UUCACUUGAAUCAAGCUACUCCCAGCUUCUGCACACAUCUGGUCCAACACUACUUUGGGAUAUGUUUUGCUAAGGUUGCUGUUCUGCCUGGAAGGCCCUCAUUCCUCAGCUGCAUGACCCGAGGUUUCCUUCCUCUAAGACCUUGCUAGCGGCUCCUAGAUGCCUUCCAAACCAAAUUCUCUUCUAUGAGAUCAGCUCUUAGCUUUGUAUUCCCUGGCACUUAUGGAGUAUGUUAUGGAGAAAGACUGUCUAGUUGAAGGAAAACAAGCUCUGGGCUCCCACUGAUUCUACGUUAUGAGGAAUUUCUCAAGAUUUUAUCUUUACUGAUUGAUUUCUAAGGGAUGCUACUUGCUUCUAACAUCAUGUUAAUCAGCAAUGUAAGCUCUGGCAUAGCUUACCAACCCUAAGAGUGGCAGGGAGUUGCUCUGUGUAAUGGUGGAGUACUCAGCUGUCUUCUCCAUGGUGGUUGAGUUCUCUGGAUGGGAUCAGCUUUCUUCACAUGUCACUGAAGUGAAAGGGGACAAUUGAAACCUAUUUUGACAGGUUUAAAAGCUAAAGCCAAGCCAGGAAGAGGAAGACAAGAUGAGAAACCCCAAAUCAAGGUAAGAGAAGAAAAUAAGUGCAACAUGCCAGAAAUCCAGUAAAGCAGUUCAAGUAUCAGAAGAGCGUGAAUCAAAACCAAGUGCAAGAAGAGGCACCUUGACAUUGAACUGAAGGCCACCAGGUACUCACUGGGUCAAUGACUCUUCUCAUUUUUAUUCUCCUGCCAGUGCUUCCAAUCGCUGAACUGAACUGGGAACAAAUCAACAAGGGAAACCAAGAGAUGCAUUCCUUGAAGUUCAGCCUCCAGGCCUCAAGUAAGGCAGAGGAAGAGAAUACAUAGAUCUGUGGAGAAGAGUGGUGAUGGUGGGAGCUGCCAAUAAAGAACUAUCAAAAAAGGAUGAUGCAACAGAAAAGCCGUCACCAGAUACCAGCACCUUAAUGUUGGACUUCUCAGCCUCCAGAACUGAGACCUCAAGGCACAAAGCAAAAGAAGAAUGAAUUUCAUCAUGGGAAUAUACAAAGCAAGGCAUUAACAUCUAUAGUUAAAUAAGUCAGCAUCAAACUUCUUGCUGUACCACCCACCAUUUCACACAGUUCAGCUAGCUGACUCGUUCAUACUUUAAGGCUAAUCAGAAUAAAUUAAUGAUUCAUCACUAAUAAAGAUGCAGAGUGUGUACCUUUAUUCUUCAGUAGGGUAACGUGACCCUUCUGAGUACUUCUGGAGCAAAUGUGUAUGAAGUGCUAGGUUUUUUGUCACUAAGUCUAUGUACUCAGAAAAGACACAAAUUUUCAGUAUUCUGGUUUACCACUUGCCAGGCAAAGGAAACUGUAAAUAAAUGUUUCACCACAUAUUUAUGUGAAAAAAAUUAAUUGGUGGAUGGGCUUUGUUGUGAUUCUUAAUAAUAAUGAAUCAUAGUUUUACACAUAUAGUAGGAUGAAGCAUUUGAGAUUUGAUUCUAGCAUUUCUGUCUAUGUGUUUAUAAUUUAUCCAAUGGAAGUAUUAAAAGAAAAGCUUUUUGGGAGGCCUUAUUUGAGUUCAGAAGUCUCACACGCACUUCUGUCAAGUGAUGUAAUAGGAAUGUGUUUAAGAUCAGCAGAUGAUAUAUUGAGUGUAAACAUAAUGUGCUCAUGAUGAAAGCCAAAACACUAAUUUAAUUGAUUGGAAGAAAACAGAAAUUCACCAGGAGUCAAAAUCCCAAAUAAGAGGUCCGUGUUUUCAAGGCUUAUUUUAAUAGUAUUAACUACUUCAACAAAUUAUUUUUCUUUGCUUUUUUCCAUUCACUUAAAAAUAUUUAAUGGUUUUAUUGAACUAUAUUUUACAUAUAAAAUUCGCCCGUUGAAAAUAUGCAACUUGAUGAUUUUUAGUAAAAUUUAGAAUUGUGCAAAUAUGAUAGAUUCCAUUUUAGAUAAUUUCUGUCAUUCUAAAAAGAUCUUUAAUGUCCAUUUUUAGUGAAAUCUGCUCCCACCCCCAGUCCCAGCAAACACUGAUAAAAUUUUCAUCUACUUAUUUUUGCUUUUCCUAGAAAUUUCAUAUAAAAAGUGUGGUUUGCAAAAUAAAAUCCCCUGCACUUGUGAAUGUUAUAUCACAUUGGAAAGGGGACUUCGCCAACGUAAAUUGCGUACAAAUGCGGAGAUUAUCCAGGACUAUCUGGAUGGGCCCAAUGUAAUCAAUUCAGCCCUUAAAAGCACAGAAACUUUCUCAGCUGGGUCAGAGAGAUACAAUAAUGGAAGAAGAGUCAGAGAGAUGCAAUGCAAGAAAGACUCAGUCUGCCAUUGAUGGCUUUGAAGUUAGAGGAAGGGAGCCAUGAGUCAAGAAAUGGAGGGGACCUCUAGAAGGGAACAGUCAGAGAAAUAGAUUACCCUCUAGAGCCUCCAGAAAGAGACACGGCCCUGUCAAUUUAGCUUAGUGAGACCCAUGUCAGGCUUAUGGCCUCCAAAAUGAUAAGAUAAUACAUUUGUAUUGUUUUAUGUCAUUAAGUUUGUAGGAAUUAUUAUGGUAGCAAUAUAAAACUCAUAGAAAUGACUUCUUUCAUUUUGUAUUAUUUUGAGAUGCAUUCAUUUUGUUGCAUGGAUCAUUCUAUUUUAUUGCUGAGUAUCAUUCUAUUGUAUUGACACCAAACUUUGUUUUUCCAAUCACCUGUUGGUGGGCAUUUGGGUCGUUUCCAGUUUUUGGCUAUUGUAAGUGAUGAUUUUAUAAACAUUUAUGUACAAAUCUUUUUGUGGAUAUCUAAAUAUAUGAUUCUGUUUCUCUUGGAUAAAUACCUAAGAUUAGAAUUGCUGAGUCAUAUGGUAAAGGGAUACUUAACUUUUAAAACCUCCCAAACUGUUCUUCAAAAUGGUUGUGCCAUUUUACAUCCCCACCAAUAAUGUAUAAAGGUUCCAGUUUCUCGAAAUAUUUGCCAACACUUGGUAUGGUCAGUCUUUUUGAUUCUAGUCAUUCUAGUGGGUAUAUAAUGAUAUCUCAUUGUAAUUUUAAUUUGCAUUAUCCUAAUGACUGAUGAUGUUGAGCAUGUCUUCAUUUGGUGUUU
This 3071-nucleotide long non-coding RNA is filed under the name Homo sapiens (human). Its description in RNAcentral is "HSALNT0336610". The record is from RNAcentral. Lineage: Eukaryota; Metazoa; Chordata; Mammalia; Primates; Hominidae.